CCUACGGGAGGCAGCAGUCGAGAAUCAUUCACAAUGGGGGAAACCCUGAUGGUGCGACGCCGCGUGGGGGAAUGAAGGUCUUCGGAUUGUAAACCCCUGUCAUGUGGGAGCAAAUUAAAACGAUCGUACCACCACAGGAGGAGACGGCUAACUUUGUUCCAGCAGCCCCGGUAAUGCAGAGGUCUCAAGCGUUGUUCGGAAUCACUGGGCGUAAAGCGUGCGUAGGCUGUUUCGUAAGGCGUGUGGGAACAGCGCGGGCUCAACCCGCGGACGGCACAUGAGACUGGGAGACUAGAGUGAGGGAGGGGGAACCGGAAUUCUCGGUGUAGCAGUGAAAUGCGUAGAUAUCGAGAGGAACACUCGUUGCGAAGGCGGGUUACCGGACAUUAACUGACGCUGAGGCACGAAGGCCAGGGGAGCGAAAGGGAUUAGAUACCCUUGUAGUC
This 446-nucleotide ribosomal RNA is filed under the name uncultured bacterium. RNAcentral describes it as "partial 16S ribosomal RNA". It matches the Rfam family "Bacterial small subunit ribosomal RNA", at positions 338 to 795 of the family's 1533-position model. The record is from RNAcentral.